Molecule: long non-coding RNA, 382 nt
Filed under: Arabidopsis thaliana (thale cress)
Lineage: Eukaryota; Viridiplantae; Streptophyta; Magnoliopsida; Brassicales; Brassicaceae
Description: long non-coding RNA (ATHA_LNC000536)
Source: RNAcentral
GCGAUUCCUGCAAUCCACAUUGAUCAUCAAGUGAAAUACUUCAUCCUUGUCUUCCUCGUUGGCCUUUGUUUCACUGUCUUGUACAAGUGUCUUGAUCAAGCUUACCCAAAUGAAAGCUAGAGUCACCACGAAGGUAGAAACAGGAGAUUGAUUCUCAGACUGCUCUGUAACCCAACUUUUUAGAUUAUCUAUCUGCUUCCGGCUCAAUGUAAAAGUGGCUCUGACCAUGUUCUCAGGCGUAACAUGUGAACUGUGUUUUGCAGAGUUUUGGCUCCAAAACCGCUCCAAAUGUCCUGCGCCUACCUCGCCUGGGUCCUUGAUCAUGUUUCUGCAGCUGUGAAUAGGCAGAGAGGGUAGAAGAACCGUGGCGGGAUCUUUACCG